This 253-nucleotide ribosomal RNA is filed under the name uncultured bacterium. RNAcentral's name for it is "partial 16S ribosomal RNA". It matches the Rfam family "Bacterial small subunit ribosomal RNA", at positions 524 to 776 of the family's 1533-position model. The record is from RNAcentral.
UACGUAGGGAGCGAGCGUUGUUCGGAUUUAUUGGGCGUAAAGAGCGCGUAGGCGGUGCUCCAAGUCUGGUGUGAAAUCUCCCGGCUCAACUGGGAGGGUGCGCCGGAAACUGGAAUGCUAGAGGGUGGGAGAGGUAAGCGGAAUUCCUGGUGUAGCGGUGAAAUGCGUAGAUAUCAGGAGGAACACCUGUGGUGUAGACAGCUUACUGGACCGCUUCUGACGCUGAGGCGCGAAAGCGUGGGUAGCAAACAGG